GACGAACGCUGGCGGCGUGCCUAAUACAUGCAAGUAGAACGCAGUUGCGAACGGGUGAGUAACGCGUAGGUCACUGCCUGGUAGCGGGGGAUAACUAUUGGAAACGAUAGCUAAUACCGCAUACUACCAGAUGGACCUGCGUUGUAUUAGCUAGGUUGUGAGGUAACGGCGCACCAAGGCAACGAUACAUAGCCGAACUGAGAGGGUGAUCGGACACACGUGGACUGAGACACGGCCCAGACUCCUACUGGAGGCCGCAGUAGGGAAUAUUCGGCAAUGGGGGGAAUACUGGCCGAGCAACGCCGCGUGAGUGAAGAAGGUUUUCGGAUCGUUAAGCUCUGUUGUUAAGGAAGCGGUACUUAACCAGAAAGGGACGGCUAACUACGUGCCAGCAGCCGCGGUAAUAC
Molecule: ribosomal RNA, 407 nt
Filed under: uncultured bacterium
Lineage: Bacteria
Description: partial 16S ribosomal RNA
Rfam family: Bacterial small subunit ribosomal RNA
Source: RNAcentral